Molecule: ribosomal RNA, 2761 nt
Filed under: Triticum aestivum (bread wheat)
Lineage: Eukaryota; Viridiplantae; Streptophyta; Magnoliopsida; Poales; Poaceae
Description: partial small subunit ribosomal RNA
Source: RNAcentral
AAACAUUCAUCUUUCAUCAAAGAAAAGACCCGACUUUUCUCCUCUCCUCUCCUCUCCCCUCUCCGCCUCCGUCCGACUGCGUCGCGGGAGAAUCCAAGCCAUGGCCGGGCACGCCAAGCUCCUCCUGUACAUUGUGGUGGUGGACGAGAGUGGCGCCUCCUUCCGCUACACCCGAUCCCUCCUCCACAGCACGCUCCAGCUCAUGGGAUGCAAGCCCAGCCGGCGGGUGUUCGAUGUGGUCCGCGGCGACCCCGCGGAGAUGGAGAUGCUCAUGGCCAUGUCCGGCGGCCAAGGGGGCAGAGGGGUGCAGCGUUACGAGCUGCCGGACGCCGCCACCAGCCCCAGGCAGUUCCAGUUCGAGCUCUACAAGCGCCGGACGACGGUGCUCAUCCCCAGGGACCUCUUCCUCCACCUCGUCUGCCAGGCCCUGGCCCUCUACAAGUACCUCGCCCCAAACCAGAGGAACCACCUCACCCUAGCCUGCAGGAUUCGUGAAAGAAAGGAGUCCGUCACGGUUCUUCUAUGCGGAACAAGUGGUUGCGGCAAGUCCACCCUUUCUACUUUGCUGGGGAGCAGGUUAGGGAUCACCACUGUAGUUUCCACAGAUUCCAUUCGCCACAUGAUGCGGAGCUUUGUUGACGAGAAGGAAAACCCCCUUCUCUGGGCAUCCACUUAUCAUGCAGGUGAAUGCCUCGACCCGGUGGCUGUUUCUGAAGCAAAAGCCAGGCGGAAAGCAAAGAAACGCUCGGGCGUCUCAAGCAACUCAGGUAUGGAUUAUGAGGGCAGCGGAGACAAGGUUGAGGGAAAACCAAUUGGGAAGAAACAAAUGGCUAUAGAAGGUUAUAAGGCACAGAGUGAGAUGGUCAUCGACAGUCUGGAUCGACUUAUCACCGCGUGGGAAGAUCGCAAAGAAUCGGUCGUUGUUGAGGGUGUUCACUUGAGCCUUAAUUUUGUGAUGGGCUUAAUGAAGAAACAUCCAUCAAUAAUUCCUUUUAUGAUCUACAUAUCCAAUGAGGGCAAGCACACUGAGAGGUUUGCCGUACGUGCAAAGUACAUGACGCUUGACCCAGCCAAAAAUAAGUAUGUCAAAUACAUCAACAACAUUAGAACCAUCCAAGAGUACCUCUGUAGCCGAGCUGACAAAUACCUAGUUCCCAAGGUGAACAACACAAACGUUGACCGGAGCGUGGCUUCCAUCCAUGCCACCGUCUUUAGCUGCCUCCGCAGGCGAGCUACCGGAGAGCAGUUGUAUAACGCUGACACAAACACAGCGGCGGCUGUAAAUGAAGAGUACAAAAACCAAUGUGUUGCCAACUCCAUGAGUUCCAAGGGGAUGUUCAAAUUAAUCCAGCGCCUAGGAUCCUCAAGGAAGCUCAUGGCCAUCGUUGAUGUGGAUGGAUCCGUUUCAAAGGCUUGGCCGGUUGAGUCAGGUGAUGGGGAUGGGAAAUGUGGUUCCCAAGGUGGCGGAGACCAGAAAUCUCUAGGAAACCCAAUAUAUGGACCUCUGAAUAUUGGAAGGGCGGAGUCGGUGAAUCUCCAGUUUGGCUCCUUUGGAAUAAGUGCAUGGCCUACCGACACAGGCUGUACAAGUCAAGGUGGAAGUGUCGACGGCUCGUGGAUCAACGGUAAUGAAGGCAGUAGCAGCAGCCAUGUUGCAUCUUCAUCCGGCGGCUCCCCUAAGAAGGCCGAUGGACAUCAUAAAGAGAUUAAAGAGUCAGCAGCAGCAUCUGGCAGUGACGAUGACGACGAAGAAGAAGCUGAUGUUCCACCUAAUUCAGGGAGUGAUGAGGACCUAAGCGAAGAAGAUCACGACGAAAACCAUGAUGAGAUGGAAGGGUCUGUGGACGAGGACUGCAACAGGUCCGACGAGGAAUACGACGACCUGGCCAUGCGGGACAGUAUGGAGAAUGGUUAUCUGAGCGACGACGGCAUCAUGGUGCACACCGGCCUAAGCAAAUGCCUGAGCAACAGGUUUCCGGACGGCAGCCAGCAUAAUAACCGCGGCACGCCGAGGAAACACCUAGAGUCUCUGCGAAGCCUGUCGAAGGUUGAUACCAGCACACAUGUUCCUGACACGGCGCGCUCUUGUGCUGCCGCUGCCGCUACCCCUGGUGGCAAGAGAAACACGGCUAGGAAGUGGAGGCGGUCCCUGAGCGAAAAGAUCUGUUCGCGGCCGCGGAGCUGCCCCUCUCUCGCGGAAGUGGCGGCCAAGCCCAAGGGCUCAGCUGCUGUUCCAGUGGUUCCUGAGUCUUAAAGGGUCCUGAGAGGUAGGGAAGGCCUAUAUCUAUAUGGUUGAUGUAAUAAUAAGAGAAUAAUAACCAGGGAAGGGAAGGGAGAGCAGCUGCUGCAUUGCAUUGCAUUGCAUGAAGGAAGUAUAAUAUGUGCAUGCAUGAUGUUUGUUUGUUGGGAGGCUGCAAAGGGAUGACAGAUGAAUGAAUAAUGCAAGUCCCUCUAACCGGUCGGUUAACUUGCUGUAGUAGCAUUUUCUUGUUUCUUUCUUUCUUGCUGUUUUGGUCUGGAAUUUAGAGUCUUUGUGUGUGUGUGUGUGUGUGUGUGUGUGUGUGUGUGUGUGUGGAACCUCCAAAUAAACAAACAAACAAACAUGUUGUAGCAAUUCAGUAGAGGCUGAUAGGAAUUGUAGUAAUUCAGUAGAUAGGAAACAUAUAUAUGUUGCUACUGAUCAUGGAUGGUGUUGCUGUGACUGAUUGAAUGGAUGUAUUGAUAACACAAGAAAUCCAUUCCAUUCAUAUUCUUGUUGUGU